RNAcentral lists this ribosomal RNA (422 nucleotides) under uncultured prokaryote. RNAcentral describes it as "bacterial SSU rRNA". It matches the Rfam family "Bacterial small subunit ribosomal RNA", at positions 355 to 774 of the family's 1533-position model. The record is from RNAcentral.
UAAGGAAUAUUGGUCAAUGGGCGCAAGCCUGAACCAGCCAUCCCGCGUGCAGGAAGACGGCCCUAUGGGUUGUAAACUGCUUUUCCAGGGGGAGAAUUUUUCUGUCGUGACAGGAAUUGACGGUACCCUGGGAAUAAGCAUCGGCUAACUCCGUGCCAGCAGCCGCGGUAAUACGGAGGAUGCGAGCGUUAUCCGGAUUUAUUGGGUUUAAAGGGUGCGUAGGCGGAUAGAUAAGUCAGUGGUGAAAACCUGCAGCUUAACUGUAGACUUGCCGUUGAUACUGUCAGUCUUGAGUAUGGUCAAGGUAGGCGGAAUGUGUAAUGUAGCGGUGAAAUGCUUAGAUAUUACACAGAACACCGAUUGCGAAGGCAGCUUGCUGGGCCAUUACUGACACUCAGACGCGAAAGCUAGGGUAGCAAACG